GGUUGACCUCGGAUCAGGUAGGGAUACCCGCUGAACUUAAGCAUAUCAAUAAGCGGAGGAAAAGAAACCAACAGGGAUUGCCUCAGUAACGGCGAGUGAAGCGGCAAGAGCUCAAAUUUGAAAGCUGGCUCCUUCGGGGUCCGCAUUGUAAUUUGCAGAGGAUGCUUCGGGAGCGGCCCCCAUCUAAGUGCCCUGGAACGGGCCGUCAUAGAGGGUGAGAAUCCCGUCU
This 229-nucleotide ribosomal RNA is filed under the name Penicillium javanicum. RNAcentral describes it as "partial 28S ribosomal RNA". It matches the Rfam family "Eukaryotic large subunit ribosomal RNA", at positions 1 to 226 of the family's 3401-position model. RNAcentral also lists the same sequence under 8 other names. The record is from RNAcentral. Lineage: Eukaryota; Fungi; Ascomycota; Eurotiomycetes; Eurotiales; Aspergillaceae.